AUAUAUAUAAACGAAAACACCUUUAUUUGCUUCCAAUUAAUGGCACUGCGAUUAUCUCUAUAUCAAACUAUGUUCUUGGGUUCUGCUUAAAACUUUUUGAUAUGGAGAUGUCAUAUGGGAAAAAUCUUUAUGUUCUAGGUUCUACUGAUAAAGACAUGUCUAUUUUGGCAUGGUCAACGAAUUUUUCAUGUCUUAAAUGGCAGUCAACGUUUAUUUCAUGUUUUAAAUGGCCACAUAUGAAGUUGAUGUUUAAAAUGACCACAAUUUAAAACUUGACUAAUAAAGUUAACGGAUGAUAACAGACGUUAGAAGUUCCGUUAAUGACUGAUAACAGAAUGUCUGUUUUGGCCUGGUCAACGAAUGAUCAUGUUUUAAAAAUUAGUCAACGUUUAUUUCAUGUUUUAAACGGCCGCAUAUAAAGUUGAUGUAUAAAAUGACCAUUUUUUUAAAGUUAGGGGAUUAAAUGACAUUUUUCCCGGGAGAAAUGGAGGUUGUGAAGAAAAAUCAAAGACGUAGUCUUCAGUUACUUAGAUAUGAGAAGUGUUGGUUAAACAGUGGUCUUGGGUGAAUCAGUUGGCAAGAUUUUUCCAACUGCUCGUGUUUUAAAAUCAGUGAGCUGUUAGGUAGCUUUUAUGUUUGCGACAAUGUUGGGAAAAAAGGCACAGAAUAUUAAAAGGGAAAAAUGUCAUAAAAAUCAUCGGUUUGCCAAAGUGGUGAAACAAACACCAGCUUUGAAUCUGGUGAAUUAAAUUCUCAACUAUA
Molecule: small RNA, 762 nt
Filed under: Arabidopsis thaliana (thale cress)
Lineage: Eukaryota; Viridiplantae; Streptophyta; Magnoliopsida; Brassicales; Brassicaceae
Description: ATSL084440
Source: RNAcentral